GUUCUAGAAUCCAUGCUGCCACUCUGAAUUUCAAGCUGGAUAGUUUUGAUUCAUCAGGCACAAGGAAGAGAUGGAACAGAAGGAAGAUAUGGAUUAAAACCAGAUAUGUCACUUGUGCAUCACCCUCUGCACUGUUGAAAAGGAUAUGCUCAGGAGGACCAUCUCACGAUCUACACCUCUGCUCUCCCAUUGUCUGCCUGCAUAGCCUACAUACAGUGCCCACAGCCACUGUGGGGCAGAGUGGGAAAGAGAGAAAGCCUUGAUGCUGUGCAAGUUCAGUGCAUCCCACCCAGAACUGCUGCUGCCCCGUGGCACCCAGGCAGGGCAAGUAGAACAGUCCCAGUGACAGCCAGCAGCCAGUGGCUACCAGACAGCUGUGAUGGGCAACAGAGCCUCAGCAUCACACCAGAAAGUCAACUCAGUGUGUCUGGGUUAUUUCAGCAAGACUUGCACAACAUUAUGGUAGCCUGAUCAUCAGCAGACUCACAAGCAGGGUCAGAAGACUCUGAUCUUUACCAGGAGUGGACAUGGUAAUUCUAGAGGAGGCCAUCAGAUGAGGAUUUUCAGAUUUCGAGUCUUGCUGCUGUAUCCCUGACACCUUACAUUUUUUAAAAGAGACAGAAAGAUUCCUGAAACCAUCAAGAGUUUUCAACCAAGUUUUUUAAUAGAAAUGUCAAGGCAAAAUCAUCUAUUCAGGAUUGACAGAGUAAGUGUAAGUCCUUUCAUUAAAAGAAAUGCCAUCAAUCUGAGGUAUUAGCAGCAUUACUUUAUAAGUGUACUUUAUUAUCCUCCCAAAUAAAGCUUUAAUCAGUUUGAAUCUAGGGAUCAUAGCACUUUCUGUAGCAAAGAUUGCCAGACUAAAAUUUAUGGGAACUUAAAGGGCUGUGAGGGAGGAAGUGUAGCCUUGUGUGACUCCUAGGAGUCUGGGGUGGGAGAAAUCUGGCCCCAAGCUGCUGGGAUUCAGCAAAUGACAAUGGGGCCUUCAACAGAAGGGUUACAGACUUUAUGCACUGAGCAGAGCAGGAAGAAUGAA
Molecule: non-coding RNA, 1033 nt
Organism: Cyanistes caeruleus (blue tit)
Lineage: Eukaryota; Metazoa; Chordata; Aves; Passeriformes; Paridae
Source: RefSeq, a predicted model, not a curated record